AAAUUGAAGAGUUUGAUCAUGGCUCAGAUUGAACGCUGGCGGCAGGCCUAACACAUGCAAGUCGAACGGUAACAGGAAGCAGCUUGCUGCUUCGCUGACGAGUGGCGGACGGGUGAGUAAUGUCUGGGAAACUGCCUGAUGGAGGGGGAUAACUACUGGAAACGGUGGCUAAUACCGCAUAACGUCGCAAGACCAAAGAGGGGGACCUUCGGGCCUCUUGCCAUCAGAUGUGCCCAGAU
RNAcentral lists this ribosomal RNA (239 nucleotides) under Salmonella enterica subsp. enterica serovar Infantis. Its description in RNAcentral is "partial 16S ribosomal RNA". It matches the Rfam family "Bacterial small subunit ribosomal RNA", at positions 1 to 236 of the family's 1533-position model. Lineage: Bacteria; Pseudomonadati; Pseudomonadota; Gammaproteobacteria; Enterobacterales; Enterobacteriaceae. The record is from RNAcentral. RNAcentral also lists the same sequence under 77 other names.